CAAUAAGUUACAAAGGGCUAAAGGUGGAUGCCUUGGGACUAGAUGGCGAUGAAGGACGUGCAAAUCUGCGAUAAGCUAUGGGGAGCCGAUAAGAGGCGACGAUCCAUAGAUCUCCGAAUGAGGAAACUCAAUUAGUAGAGAUACUAAUUAUCGUUAACUGAAUUCAUAGGUUAACGAAGAAAUACCCGCUGAAGUGAAUCAUCUCAGUAAGUGGAGGAAAAUAAAUCAAAGAGAUUCCGUUAGUAGUGCGAGCGAACGCGGAUCAGGACAAACCGGAUUUAUCCGGGGUUAAGGACUACAAUGUGGAAUUUAAAUAUAUAGUAGAAGCUGUUGGGAAGCAGCGCAAUAUAGUGUGAUAGCCACGUAUACGAAAUAUAUUUAUACCUAGUAGGAUCCAGAGUAGAACGGGACACUUGAAAUCCUGUUUGAAGUCGGGGCGACCAUGCUCCAAUCCUAAAUACAAACUAGUCACCGAUAGAGAAUAGUACAGUGAUGGAACGGUGAAAAGAACCCAGAAAUGGGAGUGAAAUAGAUACUGAAACCAUUAGCCUACAACGAGUUAGAGCACAUUAAUGUGUGAUAGCGUGCGUUUUGAAGUAUGAGUCGGAGAGUUGUGAGCGGCAUGCAAGCUUAAGUCGUAGAGAUGGAGGCGUAGGGAAACCGAGUGUUAAGAGCGCGUUUAGUAUGUCGUUACAGACCCGAAACGGGGUGAUCUAGUCAUGGGCAGGUUGAAAGCUGAGUAAAAUCAGCUGGAGGACCGAACCCACUUUCGUUGAAAUGCCAGGGGAUGACCUGUGACUAGGGGAGAAAUUCCAAUCGAACUCCGUGAUGGCCGGUUCUCAUCGAUAUAGCUUUUAGGCUAGCGUCGAGUGUUUAUAUAUGGGGGUAAAGCUCUGAUUGACUGAUGGCGCCACCUCGGCGUACUGAUUUCAAUUAAACUGGGAAUACCAUAUAACAAGCUCGGCAGUCAGACUGUGGGGGAUAAGCUUCAUAGUCGUGAGGAAAAGAGUCCAGAUCAUUAUUUAAGGUCCCUAAUUUAUGCUAAGUGGAAAAGGAUGUUGAAUUUCUUAAACACCAAGGAUGUUGGCUUAGAAGCAGCCAUCGUUUAAAGAGUGCGUAACAGCUCACUUGUCGAGAAAUUCUGCGCCGAAGAUUCAACGGGGCUAAAGCAUAAAACCGAAAAUAUGGGUUGUGUAAAUUUACGAAUUUAUACAGCGGUAGAUGAGCGUUGUAAACUGCGAUGAAGGUAGACUGUGAAGACUGCUGGAGUGUUUACAAGUGAGAAUUCCGAUGUGAGUAACGAUUGAAUGUGAGAAUCAUUUAAGCCUAUUGAACAAGGUUUCCAGGACUAGGGUCGUCCUUCCUGGGUUAGUCAGAACCUAAGACGAGGCCGAGAGGCGUAGUCGAUGGAUGAAAUGUUAAUAUUCAUUUACUUGGUAUAUUGGUGACGGAGUGACGGAGAAGGUUAAUAUGAGCCCAUUAUCGGAUUUGGGUGAAAGUACAAAGUCUUAAAAGCAGGUAAAUCCACUUUUUUCAAGGACAAUGUGCGAGACGAAUGAAAACUUCGGUUAGUAAACAAGUCAUAUACAUCACGCUUCCUAGAAAAACUUCUAAACUUAACAAUAUAUCAAUCUGUACCGAGAACGAACACACGUGUUCAAGUUGAAUAAACUAUGGCUAGCGAGUUAAUUAUCGUUAAGGAACUCUGCAAAUUGACCCCGUACGUUAGCAAUAAGGGGAGCUCAUCGCAAGAUGAGUCACAGAAAAUAGCGAGAAGGGACUGUUUAUCAAAAACACAGCUUUAUGCCAAAUCGUAAGAUGAUGUAUAUGAGGCGACACCUGCCCAGUGCUGGAAGGUUAAGGAAGCGAGUGCAAGCUUGUGACCGAAGCCCCAGUGAACGGCGGCCGUAACUAUAACGGUCCUAAGGUAGCAAAAUUCCUUGUCGGGUAAAUUCCGUCCCGCUUGAAAGGUGCAACCACUUCUUGACUGUCUCGACGAUACACUCGGUGAAAUCCUGGUAGGAGUGAAGACGCUCCUUUGGCGUGGUGGGACGGAAAGACCCCAUGAAGCUUUACUGUAACUUAGCAUUGUCUGAUUAAUUGAUAUUUAAAGCAUAGGUAGGAGACUUUGAUAUAACGCCGCUAGGUGUUAUGGAGUCAACAAGUGUAAUACUACCAUUAUUAAUUGAUUAGACUCACCCGCCGGUGUCAUCCACCGGGGGAACAGUGUUAGGCGGACAGUUUGACUGGGGCGGUCGCCUCCCAAAAUGUAACGGAGGCGCGCAAAGGUACAUUCAGUAUGGUUGGAAAUCAUAUAGCGAGCGUAAUGGUAUAAAGUGUGCUUGACUGCGAGACGUACAUGUCGAGCAGGUAAGAAAUUAGGUCAUAGUGAUCCGGUGGUUCCGAAUGGAAGGGCCAUCGCUCAUCGGAUAAAAGUUACUCUGGGGAUAACAGGCUGAUACUGUCCAAGAGUUCAUAUCGACGACAGUGUUUGGCACCUCGAUGUCGACUCAUCUUAUCCUGGAGCUGUAGCAGGUUCCAAGGGUUCGGCUGUUCGCCGAUUAAAAAGAUACGUGAGUUGGGUUCAAACCGUUGUGAAACAGGUUGGUCCCUAUCUGCCAUGCCCGCAGAAAAAUUGAGAAGAGUUGCUCCUAGUACGAGAGGAUCGGAGUGAAGUUACCUCUAAUGUUCCAGUUGUCCCGCCAGGGGCAGUGCUGGGUAGUUACGUAGCGAACGGAUAAGCGCUGAAAGCAUAUAAGCGCGAAGCCUCCUUCAAGAUAAAUUUUUCCUUCCCGCAAGGGAAAUAAGAAUCGUCAUAGACUAUGACGUUGAUAGGAUACAUGUGUAAGUACCGCAAGGUAUUUAGCUGAGUAUUACUAAUAAUUCGAAAGACUUAUGAUU
RNAcentral lists this ribosomal RNA (2901 nucleotides) under Mycoplasmataceae bacterium. RNAcentral's name for it is "23S ribosomal RNA". It matches the Rfam family "Bacterial large subunit ribosomal RNA". The record is from RNAcentral. Lineage: Bacteria; Bacillati; Mycoplasmatota; Mollicutes; Mycoplasmatales; Mycoplasmataceae.